CAGCCAGCCUUUCUAUACAAGGAGCUGUUGGGGACUGUCACUUCUGAUGGUGUGAGCUCCUUUGGUGAAGAAGGCUGGCAUUGGAAUGCGAGUGUCUAAGCCUGGCUGGCUUCUUGCUUGUUUUUUUUUUUCCCCCCUUCUGGAACCUCAGGAAUCAGGUCCCAGGAGGCAGCACCAGGAGCAUCGAACCUCAGAAAGGAUGAGGCAAGUGUAAGAUCACAGGUGUGCUGCUCAGCCGCUCAUGACCACAGUCCCUCCGUGUUAAUUAGUGGGCUUUUCUUAUCUCCACAACUGUAUUUUAAUUGCCUGUGAGGCAGGCUUGCCUCCUAGAUGGAGGGUUCACACAUCCCUGCAGAGGCCCAACCAGGAUUUAUUGUUGCUGCUUAUGCCGAACUUGGUUCCUGUGGCUGCCAUUUUAACUCAGCAGGGAAGAGCCCUGUAGGUAAGAACAAUGCAGUAGUCAGGCGUUGGAUCAGCUGCAGAUACAUUUUUCUGCAGAGAACCUUUUAAAAUGUGUCAAUACUCUCCUGGAAUUGAACAGUCCUAAUGGCUAACUGUGAUGAUAUUCUUACAUUGUACCAGGCACUAAGCUAAGAUUUUUACAUAGCUCUUUACUUUCCUCCCUUGAUGAGAAUGUUCUAGUUAUUGGCUUUGGACUCAGAGAAAUUAAGUAACCUAAUACAAGCCACACAGCAAGUAAGACACUGGUCUGAGUUUUGAACUUGGGUGGACUGGUUCCAGAGUGUCUUCUGUGUGUCAAACAGUUCUUUUAAACGAACAUCAUGAUGUUCUAUUUCUCUUUUUCACAGCCUUGCGUGGAUGAAACAGUCCCAACGAACACUUUAAAAAGACAAAUGUUCCCGACAGCACUGGUUGAAUUCAAAACUCGGCAGAUCCAUGUUCUUAUCCUUAGACAAGAGAGGGGCCAUAACAAGAUGGAAUGACGGAACAGACGUGAGAGAUGAUGUCCACCCAGAGGGUCUGCACUUCUCGGAGCCAGAAGGUGGAGAAGAGUAGGGAUGGAGGAAGUUCGAAGUUUUAGGAGUCUGCUCUUGGGUCCCUAGGCAUGAGGACAAGCUUUUCCUGUACUCAAUGCUCAUCUCUCAGUUGUGCCCACAUUGGUACACAUUACUUGCUUUCAACUGCUGCUGCUGCUGUUUCCUAAUUCAAUAAAGAUAUGGCUGGCUCAGCAGAGAGCUGUCAUCCA
RNAcentral lists this long non-coding RNA (1207 nucleotides) under Mus musculus (house mouse). RNAcentral's name for it is "predicted gene 29154". Lineage: Eukaryota; Metazoa; Chordata; Mammalia; Rodentia; Muridae. The record is from RNAcentral.